Molecule: ribosomal RNA, 468 nt
Filed under: uncultured bacterium
Lineage: Bacteria
Description: partial 16S ribosomal RNA
Rfam family: Bacterial small subunit ribosomal RNA
Source: RNAcentral
GACGAACGCUGGCGGCGUGCUUAACACAUGCAAGUCGAACGGAAAGGCCCUGCUUUUGUGGGGUGCUCGAGUGGCGAACGGGUGAGUAACACGUGAGUAACCUGCCCUUAACUUUGGGAUAACUUCAGGAAACUGGGGCUAAUACCGGAUAGGAGCUCCUGCUGCAUGGUGGGGGUUGGAAAGUUUCGGCGGUUGGGGAUGGACUCGCGGCUUAUCAGCUUGUUGGUGGGGUAGUGGCUUACCAAGGCUUUGACGGGUAGCCGGCCUGAGAGGGUGACCGGCCACAUUGGGACUGAGAUACGGCCCAGACUCCUACGGGAGGCAGCAGUGGGGAAUAUUGCACAAUGGGCGGAAGCCUGAUGCAGCAACGCCGCGUGCGGGAUGACGGCCUUCGGGUUGGAAACCGCUUUCGCCUGUGACGAAGCGUGAGUGACGGUAAUGGGUAAAGAAGCACCGGCUAACUACGUG